Long non-coding RNA from Phacochoerus africanus (Common warthog), 887 nucleotides. RefSeq lists it as uncharacterized. Lineage: Eukaryota; Metazoa; Chordata; Mammalia; Artiodactyla; Suidae. The record is from RefSeq and is a predicted model, not a curated record. The transcript has 3 exons.
GGAGGAACACAAACCUGGACCAUUCUUCCUUGUGGAAUUUUAAUUCUUAUUUUCACUUCCUUCUUGAGCUGGGGCCGGGAAGGGAGAGCUGAGCUUCCUCAGGGCUUCUGAAAGCUGGGAAAUGGUUAUUGUCAGAACCGGCCCCUUUUGAGGGAGCUCACCUGCAGGGGGAGCGGCCACAUCUGGCACUAAUUCAUUCAACAGACUUCAGCUGCGUGUUAGAGGCCAUGAUGGAUGCUCCAGGGGAUGAAGGCAACCAAGACAGACUCCGCCUUCAAGGAGCUGUAGCCAGUUCCCUUCGAAUCAGUUUUUCACUUUUUAAAAUGACUUUGUUCUUCAUAUUGGAGAAGAAGUUGGUAUUCCUUCAACAUCCAAGCUCCUAAGAGACCGCAAGCUCCUUCUGUCGUGUCGUGGCAACUAUUUGAAGCAACAAAAGGGAAAGAGAUAGUAAAAAUAACUCAUUCCAGUUGGCAGAGCAUCACUGUAUCGUUCUCAAAGUGCUUGUAUUUAUCAGAAAUAAAGCUGAUACCCUCUUGGCAGCACUAGAUCAAGUUGGUCCAUUUUGAUGCUGACAAGAGGACUGAUGUUCUUGCUUUUCGUGGUCUGUGAGAACACUGUGUACCCUGGACUCAACAGAGUUGAUGUAAUCCAGGUUUGCUGACAUUCUUGAGGCAUGGAAAUUUUUCCUUAUUUUUAUUCCAGCUCCAAAAGUUUCCUGAGAGAACAUCCUAGAAGUAGCCUUUCAUGGCGGUAGCCAUCAGUCCUGGCUACUGAUUGAAAUCACUUGUGAAACUUAAAUUGUAGAUGUCCACUGAAGACAGAUGAAUUAGAACCUACAGCUCCAUUUUAUUUUUAGUUAAUUAUUGAGCUUGAAUGUUUAACCAUUG